CCUACGGGUGGCAGCAGUGAGGAAUAUUGGUCAAUGGACGAGAGUCUGAACCAGCCAAGUAGCGUGAAGGAUGACUGCCCUAUGGGUUGUAAACUUCUUUUAUAUGGGAAUAAAAUGUUCCAAGUGGGGGAUUUUGUAUGUACCAUAUGAAUAAGGAACGGCUAACUCCGUGCCAGCAGCCGCGGUAAUACGGAGGAUCCGAGCGUUAUCCGGAUUUAUUGGGCUUAAAGGGAGCGUAGGUGGCUUGUUAAGUCAGUUGUGAAAGUUUGCGGCUCAACCGUAAAAUUGCAGUUGAAACUGGCAGUCUUGAGUACAGUAGAGGUGGGCGGAAUUCGUGGUGUAGCGGUGAAAUGCUUAGAUAUCACGAAGAACUCCGAUUGCGAAGGCAGUUCACUGGACUGCAACUGACACUGAGGCUCGAAAGUGUGGGUAUCAAACAGGAUUAGAUACCCCUGUAGUC
Molecule: ribosomal RNA, 460 nt
Filed under: uncultured bacterium
Lineage: Bacteria
Description: partial 16S ribosomal RNA
Rfam family: Bacterial small subunit ribosomal RNA
Source: RNAcentral